UUGGAGAGUUUGAUCCUGGCUCAGGACGAACGCUGGCGGUGCGCCUUAUGCAUGCAAGUUGAGCGAAGCUUUUCAGUAGUUUACUACAGAAAAUGACUGAGCGGCGAACGGGUGAGUAACGCGUGAGCAAUCUACCUUAGUUACUGGGAUAGCCCGAGGAAACUCGGAUUAAUACCGGAUAUUCUUAUUUUUUCACAUGAAGUUUUAAGGAAAGGUCAGCCGAACUAAGAUGAGCUCGCGUUCUAUCAGCUAGUUGGUGGGGUAAAAGCCUACCAAGGCAACGACGGAUAGCUGGUCUGAGAGGACGAUCAGCCACACUGGGACUGAGACACGGCCCAGACUCCUACGGGAGGCAGCAGU
This 360-nucleotide ribosomal RNA is filed under the name Actinomycetota bacterium. Its description in RNAcentral is "bacterial SSU rRNA". It matches the Rfam family "Bacterial small subunit ribosomal RNA", at positions 1 to 355 of the family's 1533-position model. The record is from RNAcentral. Lineage: Bacteria; Bacillati; Actinomycetota.